UAAAAACCCCGACUUCGGAAGGGGUGUAUUUAUUAGAUACAAAACCAAUGCCCUUCGGGGCUCUUUGGUGAUUCAUGAUAACUAUACGAAUCGCACGGCCUUGCGCCGGCGAUGGUUCAUUCAAAUUUCUUCCCUAUCAACUUUCGAUGGUUGGGUAUUGGCCAAACAUGGUUGCAACGGGUAACGGAGGGUUAGGGCUCGACCCCGGAGAAGGAGCCUGAGAAACGGCUACUACAUCCAAGGAAGGCAGCAGGCGCGCAAAUUACCCAAUCCCGACUCGGGGAGGUAGUGACAAUAAAUACUGAUACAGGGCCCUUUCGGGCCUUGUAAUUGGAAUGAGUACAAUUUAAAUCCCUUAACGAGGAACAAUUGGAGGGCAAGUCUGGUGCCAGCAGCCGCGGUAAUUCCAGCUCCAAUAGCGUAUAUUAAAGUUGUUGUGGUUAAAAAGCUCGUAGUUGAACCUUGGGCCUGGCUGGCCGGUCCGCCUCACCGCGUGCACUGGUCCGGCCGGGCCUUUCCCUCUGUGGAACCCCAUACCCUUCACUGGGCGUGGCGGGGAAACAGGACAUUUACUUU
This 576-nucleotide ribosomal RNA is filed under the name uncultured eukaryote. RNAcentral describes it as "SSU rRNA". It matches the Rfam family "Eukaryotic small subunit ribosomal RNA", at positions 174 to 758 of the family's 1831-position model. The record is from RNAcentral.